This 360-nucleotide ribosomal RNA is filed under the name Triticum aestivum (bread wheat). Its description in RNAcentral is "partial small subunit ribosomal RNA". Lineage: Eukaryota; Viridiplantae; Streptophyta; Magnoliopsida; Poales; Poaceae. The record is from RNAcentral.
AUGGCGUGUCUGCCCAAUGUGCUAGAGCUGAGGUGCUUCGUCGUCGCACAGACGAGCAUGGUACCGGGAUGGAAGACAUGGUGCAAGACUUUCAUGAUGCUUGGGACUCGGACGAUGGGAUGGAGGAAUCUGCAAAGGCCUUCAAUGAAAUGUUGGAGUCUUCAAAAUGACCCCUCCAUGAGCACACUGAGCUUUGUUAGCUGGAUAUGCCAUCUCACAAAUAAUUGCUCUGAAGGCUCAAUUCAACUUGGGCAGAGAAUGCUAUGGCGCGAUGAUGAGAGUAUUUGGACAUUUUCUACCCAAAGGCAAUGUACUAUUUGCAAACCUGUACCAGUCAGACAAAAUCCACCAAUGUCUUAA